Molecule: ribosomal RNA, 484 nt
Filed under: uncultured bacterium
Lineage: Bacteria
Description: partial 16S ribosomal RNA
Rfam family: Bacterial small subunit ribosomal RNA
Source: RNAcentral
AGUGAACGCUGGCGGCGUGCUUAACACAUGCAAGUCGAACGAGAACGGGCUAUAGCUUGCUAUAGUUGUCAGCUAAGUGGCGCACGGGUGAGUAAUGUAUAGGUAAUAUGCCUCUUACUAAGGGAUAACAAAUGGAAACGUUUGCUAAUACCUUAUACUCCUUAUUAACCGAAGUUAAUAAGGGAAAGAUUUAUUGGUAAGAGAUUAGCCUGUAUUGUAUCAGUUAGUUGGUGGGGUAAUGGCUUACCAAGACUAUGACACAUAACUGGUUUGAGAGGAUGGUCAGUAACACUGGAACUGAGACACGGUCCAGACUCCUACGGGAGGCAGCAGUGGGGAAUAUUGCACAAUGGACGAAAGUCUGAUGCAGCAACGCCGCGUGGAGGAUGACACAUUUCGGUGCGUAAACUCCUUUUAUAUGAGAAGAUAAUGACGGUAUUAUAUGAAUAAGCACCGGCUAACUCCGUGCCAGCCGCCGCGGUAA